ACUCCUACGGGAGGCAGCAGUGGGGAAUAUUGGACAAUGGGGGCAACCCUGAUCCAGCGACGCCGCGUGUGUGAAGAAGGCCUGCGGGUUGUAAAGCACUUUUAGUGGGGAUGAAAAGCCGAAGGCUAAUACCUUUCGGUCUUGACCUAACCCAAAGAAAAAGCACCGGCUAACUCUGUGCCAGCAGCCGCGGUAAUACAGAGGGUGCAAGCGUUAAUCGGAAUUACUGGGCGUAAAGCGUGCGUAGUCGGUUAUCUAAGUCGGGUGUGAAAUCCCCGGGCUCAACCUGGGAAUUGCAUUCGAUACUGGAUAGCUAGAGUUCGGCAGAGGGAAGCGGAAUUUCCGGUGUAGCGGUGAAAUGCGUAGAUAUCGGAAGGAACAUCAGUGGCGAAAGCGGCUUCCUGGACCAGAACUGACGAUCAGGCACGAAAGCGUGGGGAGCAAACAGGAUUAGAUACCCUGGUAGUCCACGCCAUAAACGAUGACAACUAGACGUUGGGCGGGUAAGCCGCACAGUGUCGCAGCUAACGCGUUAAGUUGUCCGCCUGGGGAGUACGGCCGCAAGGUUGAAACUUAAAGGAAUUGACG
RNAcentral lists this ribosomal RNA (588 nucleotides) under uncultured Gammaproteobacteria bacterium. RNAcentral describes it as "bacterial SSU rRNA". It matches the Rfam family "Bacterial small subunit ribosomal RNA", at positions 335 to 915 of the family's 1533-position model. The record is from RNAcentral. Lineage: Bacteria; Pseudomonadati; Pseudomonadota; Gammaproteobacteria.